This 21-nucleotide small nuclear RNA is filed under the name Arabidopsis thaliana (thale cress). Its description in RNAcentral is "snRNA_13321". The record is from RNAcentral. Lineage: Eukaryota; Viridiplantae; Streptophyta; Magnoliopsida; Brassicales; Brassicaceae.
AGGAGGGCGCGGCGGUCGCUG